UACGAAGGGUGCAAGCGUUAAUCGGAAUUACUGGGCGUGAAGGGUGCGUAGGCGGUCUGUUAAGUUGGAUGUGAAAGCCCCGGGCUCAACCUGGGAAUGGCAUCCAAAACUGGCAGGCUGGAGUGCGGUAGAGGAUGGUGGAAUUCCCGGUGUAGCGGUGAAAUGCGUAGAGAUCGGGAGGAACAUCGAUGGCGAAGCCAGCCAUCUGGACCAGCACUGACGCUGAGGCACGAAAGCGUGGAGAGCAAACAGGAUUA
Molecule: ribosomal RNA, 257 nt
Filed under: uncultured prokaryote
Description: partial 16S ribosomal RNA
Rfam family: Bacterial small subunit ribosomal RNA
Source: RNAcentral